RNAcentral lists this microRNA precursor (230 nucleotides) under Nicotiana tabacum (common tobacco). Its description in RNAcentral is "miR6164a stem-loop (nta-MIR6164a)". The record is from miRBase by way of RNAcentral. Lineage: Eukaryota; Viridiplantae; Streptophyta; Magnoliopsida; Solanales; Solanaceae.
AUUAUAACUCUCCGUUUCAAUUUAUGUGAACUUAUUUCCUUUUUAGUCCGUGCCAAAAAAAAUGAUAUCUUUCCUUAUUUGGAAACAAUUUAACUUUAUGCAACGAUUUAUAGUCACACAAAAUAUAUGUGCCUCAUUUUAUACCACAAGUUCAAAAAUCUUCUCUCUUUUUUUAAACUUCGUGCCCAGUCAAAUAGGUUCACAUAAAUUGAAACGGAGGAGUAGGAAUU